AGAGUUUGAUCAUGGCUCAGAUUGAACGCUGGCGGCAUGCUUUACACAUGCAAGUCGAGCGGCAGCGCGGGGGCAACCCUGGCGGCGAGCGGCGGACGGGUGAGUAAUGCAUCGGAACGUAUCCCGUAGUGGGGGACAACCCAGCGAAAGCUGGGCUAAUACCGCAUAUGCUCUACGGAGGAAAGUGGGGGACCCGCAAGGGCCUCACGCUAUGGGAGCGGCCGAUGUCCGAUUAGCUAGUUGGUGGGGUAAAGGCCCACCAAGGCGACGAUCGGUAGCUGGUCUGAGAGGAUGAUCAGCCACACUGGGACUGAGACACGGCCCAGACUCCUACGGGAGGCAGCAGUGGGAAUUUGGACAAUGGGGCAACCCUGAUCCAGCCAUGCCGCGUGCGGGAAGAAGGCCUUCGGGUUGUAAACCGCUUUUGGUCGGGAAGAAAAGGCGUCUCCUAAUACGGGGCGUUCUUGACGGUACCGGCAGAAUAAGCACCGGCUAACUACGUG
RNAcentral lists this ribosomal RNA (503 nucleotides) under uncultured bacterium. RNAcentral describes it as "bacterial SSU rRNA". It matches the Rfam family "Bacterial small subunit ribosomal RNA", at positions 8 to 507 of the family's 1533-position model. The record is from RNAcentral.